Osmerus eperlanus (European smelt) is the source of this 1185-nucleotide RNA transcript. It is a transcript of the gene named H-2 class II histocompatibility antigen, A-R alpha chain-like, with no coding region annotated. NCBI's taxonomy places the organism in Eukaryota, Metazoa, Chordata, Actinopteri, Osmeriformes, Osmeridae. The transcript is spliced from 5 exons. The record is from RefSeq and is a predicted model, not a curated record.
AUUGCUUCCCUCUUAGACUGAGUUUGUAUCUGCAGUUCGUAUUCUUGAGAUAAAGUAUGAACUACUUUAUUAAAUAUAUUAUUCUCAGUGUGGCAGUAUACACCUCGGCAAUAGGUCCUGAAAUUCAAUACAUGUUUGGAUGCUUUGAUUCAGGUGAUUUUCAGGUUGUUAUGGAGGUAGAUGGGGAUGAGGUGUUCUAUGUAGACUUCAAAAAAAAGGAGGCAAUGUGGACAGUCCCUCACUUCCAAAAUUUUAAAUAUGCUAAGUUUAGACAAUUAGUUUACCAAUAUAGUGAACUGAGCAGAACAUUUUGCCAUACCAACUUAAUCCAGGAGAGAAACUGGGCUGCCUCCUUCCCACCAAACCUCAAAGCACCUGGAAGCACCAUUUACCCCAAAGAAAAAAUUGAGCUGGGGUCAGAAAACACCUUAAUUUGCUUUGUGAAUGAUUUCUUCCCUCCAUCCAUCAACGUGAAGUGGACCAAGAAUAACGUGGAACUGACAGAGGGGUCAUUGGGUCGUUAUCACCUUAACAAAGAUGGAACGUUCUUCCAGGUUUCCACCCUUACUUUUACCCCUCAGGAUGGAGACGUCUAUGCCUGCACUGUGGAGCACCCAGCCUUGGAGAGCCCCCGAACCCGAUUCUGGGAGGUGGAGGUGAAUGAGUCCAGUGCAGGUCCAGCUGUGUUCUGUGGAGUGGGUCUGACUCUGGGGCUUUUAGGAGUGGCAGCCGGAACAUUUCUCCUUGUAAAACAACCACAGUCAAAUCAGGGUGCUUGAAGAAGAACAACAAACGAGUAAAAGUAUAUAUUACAUUCAAUGAUUAGACCCUGUGACUUAUUUCUCUUCUGGACAGAUAAUAGAGGUUGGCAACAGCUACAGAGAGUCACGAGGGUUACUACAUUUUUUGAGAAGACAACUGGUUAGGUUCUUACUGUCAGCUGCUACAGGAAGUGGCAAGUAAAAAAAAACAUUCCUCCUUGUAAAACAACCACAGUCAAAUCAGGGUGCUUGAAGAGGAACAAGUCAAAGUAUAUUUUACAUUCAAUUAUUAGACCCUCUAACUUAUUUAUCUUCCGGACAGUUAUAUUAGCAAUACAAUUGCUGAUUUAAGUUACACAGUACCAUUAUAUAUAAUAACAGAUGACUCUUGUACUGUUACAUUAUAAUCUGUAUGUCCCUUUAA